AUACGUAGGGAGCGAGCGUUGUCCGGAAUUACUGGGUGUAAAGGGAGCGUAGGCGGGACUGCAAGUCAGAUGUGAAAUACCGGGGCUUAACCCCGGAGCUGCAUUUGAAACUGUGGUUCUUGAGUGAAGUAGAGGCAAGCGGAAUUCCUGGUGUAGCGGUGAAAUGCGUAGAUAUCAGGAGGAACACCGGUGGCGAAGGCGGCUUGCUGGGCUUUUACUGACGCUGAGGCUCGAAAGCGUGGGUAGCAAACAGGAUUAGAUACCCUGGUAGUCCACGCUGUAAACGAUGAUUACUAGGUGUGGGGGGACUGACCCCUUCCGUGCCGCAGUUAACACAAUAAGUAAUCCCCCUGGGGAGUACGGCCGCAAGGUUGAAACUCAAAGGAAUUGUCGGGG
Molecule: ribosomal RNA, 396 nt
Filed under: uncultured bacterium
Lineage: Bacteria
Description: partial 16S ribosomal RNA
Rfam family: Bacterial small subunit ribosomal RNA
Source: RNAcentral